AGCGAACGCUGGCGGCAGGCCUAACACAUGCAAGUCGAACGAAGUCUUCGGACUUAGUGGCGGACGGGUGAGUAACACGUGGGAACGUGCCCUUUGGUACGGAAUAACUCAGGGAAACUUGAGCUAAUACCGUAUGUGCCCUUCGGGGGAAAGAUUUAUCGCCAUUGGAGCGGCCCGCGACUGAUUAGCUAGUUGGUGAGGUAAAGGCUCACCAAGGCGACGAUCAGUAGCUGGUCUGAGAGGAUGAUCAGCCACAUUGGGACUGAGACACGGCCCAAACUCCUACGGGAGGCAGCAGUGGGGAAUCUUGCGCAAUGGGCGAAAGCCUGACGCAGCCAUGCCGCGUGAAUGAUGAAGGUCUUAGGAUUGCAAAAUUCUUUCACCGGGGACGAUAAUGACGGUACCCGGAGAAGAAGCCCCGGCUAACUUCGUGCCAGCCGCCGCCGUAA
Molecule: ribosomal RNA, 449 nt
Filed under: uncultured bacterium
Lineage: Bacteria
Description: partial 16S ribosomal RNA
Rfam family: Bacterial small subunit ribosomal RNA
Source: RNAcentral